UGGGGAAUUUUGGACAAUGGGCGAAAGCCUGAUCCAGCAAUGCCGCGUGUGUGAAGAAGGCCUUCGGGUUGUAAAGCACUUUUGUCCGGAAAGAAAUCCUUGGCUCUAAUACAGUCGGGGGAUGACGGUACCGGAAGAAUAAGCACCGGCUAACUACGUGCCAGCAGCCGCGGUAAUACGUAGGGUGCAAGCGUUAAUCGGAAUUACUGGGCGUAAAGCGUGCGCAGGCGGUUUGCUAAGACCGAUGUGAAAUCCCCGGGCUCAACCUGGGAACUGCAUUGGUGACUGGCAGGCUAGAGUAUGGCAGAGGGGGGUAGAAUUCCACGUGUAGCAGUGAAAUGCGUAGAGAUGUGGAGGAAUACCGAUGGCGAAGGCAGCCCCCUGGGCCAAUACUGACGCUCAUGCACGAAAGCGUGGGGAGCAAACAGGAUUAGAUACCCUGGUAGUCCAGCGCCCUAAACGAUGUCAACUAGUUGUUGGGGAUUCAUUCCUUAGUAACGUAGCUAACGCGUGAAGUUGACCGCCUGGGGAGUACGGUCGUCAAGAUUAAAACUCAAAGGAAUUGAC
Molecule: ribosomal RNA, 567 nt
Filed under: uncultured bacterium
Lineage: Bacteria
Description: partial 16S ribosomal RNA
Rfam family: Bacterial small subunit ribosomal RNA
Source: RNAcentral